UGGGGAAUAUUGGGCAAUGGAGGCAACUCUGACCCAGCAACGCCGCGUGAGUGAUGAAGGUCUUCGGAUUGUAAAACUCUUUAAGUGGGGACGAAGAAAGUGACUGUACCCACAGAAUAAGCCUCGGCUAACUACGUGCCAGCAGCCGCGGUAAUACGUAGGAGGCAAGCGUUAUCCGGAAUGACUGGGCGUAAAGGGUGCGUAGGUGGUUCGGCAAGUUAGUAGCGUAAUUCCGGGGCUCAACCUCGGAACUACUACUAAAACUGUUGGGCUUGAGUGCAGGAGGGGCAUAUGGAAUUCCUAGUGUAGCGGUGGAAUGCGUAGAUAUUAGGAAGAACACCAGUGGCGAAGGCGAUAUGCUGGACUGUAACUGACACUGAGGCACGAAAGCGUGGGGAGCAAACAGG
Molecule: ribosomal RNA, 407 nt
Filed under: uncultured bacterium
Lineage: Bacteria
Description: bacterial SSU rRNA
Rfam family: Bacterial small subunit ribosomal RNA
Source: RNAcentral